UACGGAGGAUCCAAGCGUUAUCCGGAUUCAUUGGGUUUAAAGGGUGCGUAGGCGGAAUUGUAAGUCAGUGGUGAAAGCCUGCAGCUUAACUGCAGAAUUGCCAUUGAUACUGCAAAUCUUGAGUACAUUUGAUGUGGGCGGAAUGUGUCAUGUAGCGGUGAAAUGCUUUAGAUAUGACACAGAACACCGAUUGCGAAGGCAGCUCACAAAACUGUAAACUGACGCUGAGGCACGGAAAAGCGUGGGGAUCGAACAGG
This 257-nucleotide ribosomal RNA is filed under the name uncultured bacterium. RNAcentral's name for it is "partial 16S ribosomal RNA". It matches the Rfam family "Bacterial small subunit ribosomal RNA", at positions 524 to 776 of the family's 1533-position model. The record is from RNAcentral.